Molecule: long non-coding RNA, 781 nt
Organism: Poecilia latipinna (sailfin molly)
Lineage: Eukaryota; Metazoa; Chordata; Actinopteri; Cyprinodontiformes; Poeciliidae
Exons: 3
Source: RefSeq, a predicted model, not a curated record
CGGUGACCGAUCGAUCGGCACACCUCUAAUCAGUAUAAAAGAGUGAACUUUGAUUUGGACUCCGUCUGCUUUUGCUCUACAAUUUUCUGAAUAUUUAUAAGUGAAUGCUGCCAGCUUAUAUUCAUAAAACCUUAACAUGUAGAAAUCAUCCUGUGUAUGGGCAAAAAGAAGAAAUAAAUUGUUCUUGGUGGCCCACACUUCACCGGUAAUAUGAGCUAUGAUGCACUGGUGGAAAAUCUAAACUGCGUUUCAUAGUUAAUUGAAACACUGCAAUUGUGAAUCUUAAAAUAGAAAUAUAGACAAAGUUUGUCAUACAUUUGUGAUGGAAACCAAAAUAAUAGACAAGAAGAAAAGGAAACAGGAACGGGAUGAUCUAACAUCUGGAGAGUUGAUUCCUAAAUAAGGAGCAAGUGAUUGAUUAGGAAGUGGUUACAGCUGUGACUAAAGACAAGGAAGGAACUGAAGACAGACAUUGAAACAAACUAGAAACAUAAGAAAAAUAGUUACGAUUAGAACCAAAAGGGUGACUUAAAAAAAACACAGAACUGAAACAAGAACUAAGAAAUACAGAUAAAUGACUGCUAUGCGAUGAAAAUAAAUAAGCAGAAGGAACUGAGAAAACCCCCCACAAUAAAAUCAAUAUUUAACAAUAUUUUUUAAUUCACCAUCUUAAUGAGCAAUGCUCAACAAAUCUUACAGACAGGGGACAUCAGUAGUUUACAAUUGAUUCAAAAUGUAAAUUAGAGAUUGAAAGUAAACCCAGAGUUUGGUGUCAUGUUGA